Molecule: unclassified non-coding RNA, 406 nt
Filed under: Hevea brasiliensis (rubber tree)
Lineage: Eukaryota; Viridiplantae; Streptophyta; Magnoliopsida; Malpighiales; Euphorbiaceae
Source: RNAcentral
GAUGUCCCUUUUGGCCGAGGCACAGCGUGUCAAGGCCAAGAAGGAGAAGCUCGACAAGAAGAGACAUCAAAUUACAAAGGAGGAGGCAUCAGCUAUCAAGGGUGCAAGUCAUUCAUGGUACAAGACUAUGAUCUCAGAUUCCGAUUAUGCAGAGUUCGACAACUUCACAAAGUGGCUCGGAGUUUCUCAGUAAAGGAACUUUUCUUUUGUGAACUCAUGUUAGAAAGUUUUUUGUUUAGUCUGCUGUUUUGUUCCCAAGACAUGAAAGAUACUGAGUGGGAGGAAAACUACGGCCUCGUUGCCUGGCUUUUCCUUGCCUACAUUUUGAGAUUUCAUUUUAGCGUCGAGUAUUACUUCAUAUGGUAUGGUAUUAAGGAUUUUGAUGGAAUAGUUUGUUUUUGAUGGU